GCGGAUAUCGCGGCCGCAAAUCGCGCUAUAAUCGCAUCGUUGCGCGAGCACCAGGAGAGAGGAAGGAAAAUCUAGAACAAAAAUUAAGAAAAUUGAAAAUCUGAAUGAUUUUCUCACUGUUUCUGAUGGAUGCCGACGAACUCCGACUCCGUUUUCCGAUCAAAUUUUGGUCUUUACGGCAAAGCUGAGUUAAGUGCGACUCGGAUUUGUAAAGAUGAUGGAGCUGCUGAGUUUUGCUGUAUUAGGGUUUUGAUUUGUUUUUAUUUUUUGUGAAAGACUUGUUUUUUAUUUUACUUUUAUUUUUUUCAGUCAAAAAAAAUUACUUUUAUUUUUUACAAAUAGGGGUUUUGAUAAAUAAAAAAUAUGUUUCAUUUUUUUUAAAAAAAAAAUUUAGAGUAAAC
This 401-nucleotide long non-coding RNA is filed under the name Trifolium pratense (red clover). RNAcentral's name for it is "long non-coding RNA (TPRA_LNC006475)". Lineage: Eukaryota; Viridiplantae; Streptophyta; Magnoliopsida; Fabales; Fabaceae. The record is from RNAcentral.